UACGGAGGGUGCGAGCGUUGUCCGGAAUUACUGGGUGUAAAGGGUGCGUAGGCGGGCAUGUGCGUCGGAGGUUAAAUACAACGGCUUAACCGUUGAACUGCCUUCGAAACGGCAUGUCUUGAAUGUGGGAGAGGAUGAUGGAAUUCCUGGUGUAGCGGUGAAAUGCGUAGAUAUCAGGAGGAACACCGGUGGCGAAGGCGGUCAUCUGGCCCACUAUUGACGCUGAGGCACGAAAGCGUGGGGAGCAAACAGG
RNAcentral lists this ribosomal RNA (253 nucleotides) under uncultured microorganism. RNAcentral describes it as "partial 16S ribosomal RNA". It matches the Rfam family "Bacterial small subunit ribosomal RNA", at positions 524 to 776 of the family's 1533-position model. The record is from RNAcentral.